AACAAAGUGACCAGCCGGCCAAGAUGCUAAUCGUGCUAGACAGUGAGGACAGUGAGGAAGAGUCCAUUGAAGAGCAGCAGCCGGUUACGCCAUGGAAUGACCUGUGUAUUAUAGAUCGCGUAGGCUUCAACAGUGCUAAGAUGUCAGAGGAACAAGUGGAGGUAAGGCAAUCCAUCAGUAGUCCUCAUUAACAUGAUGUUAUG
Molecule: long non-coding RNA, 203 nt
Organism: Salvelinus namaycush (lake trout)
Lineage: Eukaryota; Metazoa; Chordata; Actinopteri; Salmoniformes; Salmonidae
Exons: 3
Source: RefSeq, a predicted model, not a curated record